This 73-nucleotide transfer RNA is filed under the name Candidatus Nealsoniibacteriota bacterium. Its description in RNAcentral is "Candidatus Nealsonbacteria bacterium tRNA-Arg". It matches the Rfam family "tRNA". From Rfam's summary of the family: Transfer RNA (tRNA) molecules are approximately 80 nucleotides in length. Lineage: Bacteria; Candidatus Nealsoniibacteriota. The record is from RNAcentral.
GCCCCCGUGGUCUAAUGGAUAACAUGUCUGUCUUCGGAACAGAAGAUUGAGGGUUCGAGUCCUUCCGGGGGCA